Danio rerio (zebrafish) is the source of this 118-nucleotide ribosomal RNA. The record is from Ensembl. NCBI's taxonomy places the organism in Eukaryota, Metazoa, Chordata, Actinopteri, Cypriniformes, Danionidae.
AGCCACAGCCAUAUCACCUUGAAGCUCCAAGACUGGUUAGUCACAGAAGCUAAGCAGGGCUGAGCCUGGUGAGUACCUGGAUGGCAGACCACAUGGGAAAACUAAGUUACUGUUGGAA